UACGAAGGGGGGCUAGCGUUGCUCGGAAUGACUGGGCGUAAAAGGGCGCGUAGGCGGCUCAUACAGUCAGGCGUGAAAUUCCUGGGCUCAAACCUGGGGGACUGCGCUUGAGACGUGUGGGGCUUUGAGUGGGGGAAGAGGGUCGUGGAAUUCCCAGUGUAGAGGUGAAAUUCGUAGAUAUUGGGGAAGAACACCGGUGGCGAAGGCGGCGACCUGGUCCUUGACUGACGCUGGAGGCGCGAAAGCGUGGGGGAGCAAAACAGG
RNAcentral lists this ribosomal RNA (264 nucleotides) under uncultured bacterium. RNAcentral describes it as "partial 16S ribosomal RNA". It matches the Rfam family "Bacterial small subunit ribosomal RNA", at positions 524 to 776 of the family's 1533-position model. The record is from RNAcentral.